AGAGUUUGAUCCUGGCUCAGGAUGAACGCUAGCGGCAGGCUUAACACAUGCAAGUCGAGGGGUAUAGUUCUUCGGAACUAGAGACCGGCGCACGGGUGCGUAACGCGUAUGCAAUCUACCUUUCACAGAGGGAUAGCCCAGAGAAAUUUGGAUUAAUACCUCAUAGUAUAAUGAGUUGGCAUCAACGCAUUAUUAAAGUCACAACGGUGAAGGAUGAGCAUGCGUCCCAUUAGCUAGAUGGUAAGGUAACGGCUUACCAUGGCAACGAUGGGUAGGGGUCCUGAGAGGGAGAUCCCCCACACUGGUACUGAGACACGGACCAGACUCCUACGGGAGGCAGCAGUGAGGAAUAUUGGACAAUGGGCGCAAGCCUGAUCCAGCCAUGCCGCGUGCAGGGUGACGGUCCUAUGGAUUGUAAACUGCUUUUGUACAGGAAGAAACACUGGUUCGUGAACCAGCUUGACGGUACUGUAAGAAUAAGGAUCGGCUAACUCCGUGCCAGCAGCCGCGUAAUACGGAGGAUCAAGCGUUAUCCGGAAUCAU
This 543-nucleotide ribosomal RNA is filed under the name uncultured bacterium. RNAcentral describes it as "bacterial SSU rRNA". It matches the Rfam family "Bacterial small subunit ribosomal RNA", at positions 8 to 554 of the family's 1533-position model. The record is from RNAcentral.